RNAcentral lists this ribosomal RNA (620 nucleotides) under Odessia maeotica. Its description in RNAcentral is "partial 16S ribosomal RNA". It matches the Rfam family "Bacterial large subunit ribosomal RNA", at positions 1803 to 2608 of the family's 2925-position model. Lineage: Eukaryota; Metazoa; Cnidaria; Hydrozoa; Anthoathecata; Moerisiidae. The record is from RNAcentral.
UUUACCAAAAACAUAGCCCCCGAAUAAAUCGGAGGUGCCACCUGCCCAAUGGCUCUUAAUUUAGUAGUUUUAAAAUGUCUGUAAGAGAGCUCAAAGGAUGCGGUAUCUUGACCGUAGUAAUGUAGCAUAAUCAUUCGCCAUUUAAUUGAUGGAUAGUAUGAAUGGUAAAACGAGUACAACACUGUCUCAAGUAAAGGACUGAUAAAAUUAAGAAAAUAGUCAAGACGCUAUUUAAAACUGUAAGACGAGAAGACCCUAUAGAGCUUAACUAUUGGCUCUUUGUAAAAUAAAAACUAGUUUUAACCACAAAGAGUCAGGUAGUUUAGUUGGGGCGACUACUUUCUAAAUAUAACGAAAGUAAACAAAGUUAAUUUUUUUAACUUACUGUAUAAAAAAUAAAUUUAACAGUUAUAAACAUAGGUAAUAAUGACCCGCCACUUUGGUAAAAAUAGAGUGACGAUCAAUAAAUAAAAGCUACCUUAGGGAUAACAGGGUAAUCUUGUUCUAGAGAUCUUAUCGAAUACAAGGUUUGCCACCUCUAUGUUGAAUUAAGACAUCCUAGGAGUGCAGAAGCUCCUGAGGGUAGGUCUGUUCGACCUAUAAAGUCUUACAUGAUUUGA